RNAcentral lists this ribosomal RNA (200 nucleotides) under uncultured bacterium. Its description in RNAcentral is "partial 16S ribosomal RNA". It matches the Rfam family "Bacterial small subunit ribosomal RNA", at positions 8 to 233 of the family's 1533-position model. The record is from RNAcentral.
AGAGUUUGAUCAUGGCUCAGAGCGAACGCUGGCGGCAGGCUUAACACAUGCAAGUCGAGCGCCCCGUAGCAAUACGGGAGCGGCAGACGGGAGAGUAACACGUGGGAACGCACCUUUCGGUUCGGAAUAACCCAGGGAAACUUGGGCUAAUACCGGAUACGUCCGCAAGGAGAAAGAUUUAUCGCCGGAAGAUCGGCCCG